This 393-nucleotide ribosomal RNA is filed under the name uncultured bacterium. RNAcentral's name for it is "partial 16S ribosomal RNA". It matches the Rfam family "Bacterial small subunit ribosomal RNA", at positions 523 to 918 of the family's 1533-position model. The record is from RNAcentral.
AUACGGAGGAUGCAAGCGUUAUCCGGAUUUAUUGGGUUUAAAGGGUGCGUAGGCGGUUUGCUAAGCGGGAGGUGAAAUGCCGGCGCUCAACGUCGGAAGUGCCUCCCGAACUGGUGGACUUGAAUGACUCUGCCGUGGGAGGAAUGUGUAGUGUAGCGGUGAAAUGCUUAGAGAUUACACAGAACACCGAUUGCGAAGGCAUCUCACGAAGGGUUGAUUGACGCUGAGGCACGAAAGCGUGGGGAUCAAACAGGAUUAGAUACCCUGGUAGUCCACGCAGUAAACGAUGAUGGCUACCCGCUGGUUUAUUCGGAUCAGUGGCCAAGCGAAAGCGAUAAGCCAUCCACCUGGGGAGUACGACCGCAAGGUUGAAACUCAAAUGAAUUGACGGGG